Molecule: long non-coding RNA, 525 nt
Organism: Erinaceus europaeus (western European hedgehog)
Lineage: Eukaryota; Metazoa; Chordata; Mammalia; Eulipotyphla; Erinaceidae
Exons: 3
Source: RefSeq, a predicted model, not a curated record
AAAGGAGCCUGGACAGAGAAAUAUCUGCAAUUCCAGCAAAAUGCUGCCUGCAGCCUGAAGAUGAACAGCUUUGAUAAAAUGGUUGUGGAAAACUGGGACUUACCCCAAAGCCGCAAAGCAGGCAAUCACGGAAGAGUAUUUGGGUAAGAAUGCAAUCUGAAGAGAAAAAGAGAAAAAUGAGGAAGAACACAAGCAAAUAACAGUAACACUUUCAAAACACUUUUCAAAUGGACAUAGAAAUCUGGGCACACGUUUAUAAGUAAACAGCUAUCAAGCAUCAAGUUUAGUUGUCACUUCAACCUCCCCCAUGCCAUUAAUUUUCUGCUAUGCUAUUAAGAGAAACAAAUAUCCUUUAUAGUUUCAGUGAUCACAUCUCUCUGAUAUAUGUUCAUUCCAGAAAAGUAAAGUUCAAAUAAGAUUCAUUUUGGCUAAAAAUUUGAAAUUACUUUCCAAAUUAGAGGUGCUAUAUAUUAUGGCCAUUUUAAUGGAUGUACAGUACUAGUCAAUGGUUUAUAUCUUUUAACA